Molecule: long non-coding RNA, 168 nt
Organism: Gallus gallus (chicken)
Lineage: Eukaryota; Metazoa; Chordata; Aves; Galliformes; Phasianidae
Exons: 3
Source: RefSeq, a predicted model, not a curated record
CCCCGACGACCCCCCCCCCCCCCCCCACGGAAGCGACCCCCAAAGAGAACGGCGCCGUCUCAGAGAAGGUGCGGAGGUCCACCCUGAACCCCAACGCCAAGGAGUUCAACCCCUGCAGGGGGGCGGCCAAAGUUGGGGCCCCCCCCUCCCCCCACAACCGCCCCCCCC